Lampris incognitus (smalleye Pacific opah) is the source of this 150-nucleotide long non-coding RNA. RefSeq lists it as uncharacterized. NCBI's taxonomy places the organism in Eukaryota, Metazoa, Chordata, Actinopteri, Lampriformes, Lampridae. The record is from RefSeq and is a predicted model, not a curated record. The transcript has 3 exons.
GUCAUCAUAUAUCUCAGCUGACAAAAGAGAAGAUUCUACUAGAAAAGCACAUGUAUGACCUUCAGAUGAGACUGGUGAGAUUUGAGAGAGAGAGAAAUAAAGAAUUCAGGAGUGCAUCAACUCAAGCAAGUCCACCUGAGGAGCCUAAAG